Molecule: ribosomal RNA, 464 nt
Filed under: uncultured bacterium
Lineage: Bacteria
Description: partial 16S ribosomal RNA
Rfam family: Bacterial small subunit ribosomal RNA
Source: RNAcentral
CUACGGGAUGCAGCAGUGGGGAAUAUUGCACAAUGGGCGCAAGCCUGAUGCAGCCAUGCCGCGUGUAUGAAGAAGGCCUUCGGGUUGUAAAGUACUUUCAGCGGGGAGGAAGGGAGUAAAGUUAAUACCUUUGCUCAUUGACGUUACCCGCAGAAGAAGCACCGGCUAACUCCGUGCCAGCAGCCGCGGUAAUACGGAGGGUGCAAGCGUUAAUCGGAAUUACUGGGCGUAAAGCGCACGCAGGCGGUUUGUUAAGUCAGAUGUGAAAUCCCCGGGCCCAACCUGGGAACUGCAUCUGAUACUGGCAAGCUUGAGUCUCGUAGAGGGGGGUAGAAUUCCAGGUGUAGCGGUGAAAUGCGUAGAGAUCUGGAGGAAUACCGGUGGCGAAGGCGGCCCCCUGGACGAAGACUGACGCUCAGGUGCGAAAGCGUGGGGAGCAAAUAGGAUUAGAUACCCCAGUAGUC